RNAcentral lists this ribosomal RNA (321 nucleotides) under uncultured eukaryote. Its description in RNAcentral is "partial 18S ribosomal RNA". It matches the Rfam family "Eukaryotic small subunit ribosomal RNA", at positions 1470 to 1796 of the family's 1831-position model. The record is from RNAcentral.
CCCUUAGAUGUCCUGGGCCGCACGCGCGCUACGCUGACAUGUUCAACAAGCCUCCUAGUUCGACAGGAUUUGGGAAAUCUUUGAACGCAUGUCGUGAUAGGGAUAGAUCAUUGCAAUUAUUGAUCUUGAACGAGGAAUCCCUAGUAAACGCGAGUCAUCAGCUCGCAUUGAUUACGUCCCUGCCCUUUGUACACACCGCCCGUCGCACCUACCGAUUGAAUGUUUCGGUGAAGAUUCCGGAUAGGACUUUUUUGAUUUAUUUCAAUUUUGUCUUAAAAGCUAUCUAAACCUCAACAUUUAGAGGAAGGUGAAGUCGUAACA